CCUACGGGGCGCAGCAGUAGGGACUAUUCCUCAAUGGGGGAAACCCUGAACGAGCAACGCCGCGUGGAGGAUGAAGGUUUUCGGAUUGUAAACUCCUUUUGUUAGAGAAGAUCAUGACUGUUACUAACGGAUAAGCACCAGCUAACUUCGUACCAGCAGCCGCGGUAAUACGGUGGGUGCAAGUGUUCGUCGGAAUCACUGGGCGGAAAGAUCGCGUAGGUGGGAUAGCAAGUCAUAGGUGAAAACCUAUGGUUUAAACAGAGAUCAGCGUUUGAAACUGUUAUUCUAGAGUAUGGGAGAGGUAGGUGGAAUUCUUGGUGUAGCGGUAAAAUCCGUAGAUAUACAGAGGAAUACUCGUGGCGAAGGCGACCGGCUAGAACAUAACUGACGCUGAUGCGCGAAAGCGUGGGGAGCAAACAGGAUUAGAUACCCGGGUAGUC
RNAcentral lists this ribosomal RNA (440 nucleotides) under uncultured bacterium. RNAcentral describes it as "partial 16S ribosomal RNA". It matches the Rfam family "Bacterial small subunit ribosomal RNA", at positions 338 to 795 of the family's 1533-position model. The record is from RNAcentral.